Molecule: ribosomal RNA, 497 nt
Filed under: uncultured bacterium
Lineage: Bacteria
Description: partial 16S ribosomal RNA
Rfam family: Bacterial small subunit ribosomal RNA
Source: RNAcentral
GGGGGGGGGGGGGGGGGGGGGUGGUGGGGGGGGGUGGGGGGGGCGGGUGGGGGGCUUGCGCCUCGGGCGGUGGCGGCGGGGGGGUGGGUGACGCGUGGAGAACCUGCCUAUAAGACUGGGAUAACUUCGGGAAACCGGAGCGACUCCCGGCUCAUCUAUUGAACCGCAUGGUUCAAUAGUGAAAGACGGUUUUGCUGUCACUUAUAGAUGGAUCCGCGCCGCAUUAGCUAGUUGGUAAGGUAACGGCUUACCAAGGCAACGAUGCGUAGCCGACCUGAGAGGGUGAUCGGCCACACUGGAACUGAGACACGGUCCAGACUCCUACGGGAGGCAGCAGUAGGGAAUCUUCCGCAAUGGGCGAAAGCCUGACGGAGCAACGCCGCGUGAGUGAUGAAGGUCUUCGGAUCGUAAAACUCUGUUAUUAGGGAAGAACAAAUGUGUAAGUAACUAUGCACGUCUUGACGGUACCUAAUCAGAAAGCCACGGCUAACUACGUG